Molecule: ribosomal RNA, 180 nt
Filed under: uncultured Glomeromycotina
Lineage: Eukaryota; Fungi; Glomeromycota
Description: partial small subunit ribosomal RNA
Source: RNAcentral
GGCUGGGUUGGGUGGUCUCGCCGCAAGGUGAGCACUGCUCGGCCUGGCCUCUCCUUCUGGAAAACCAUCGUGCUCUUAACUGGGUGCGGUGGGGAUCCAGGACUUUUACUUUGAAAAAAUUAGAGUGUUUAAAGCAGGCUCGCGCUUGAAUACAUUAGCAUGGAAUAAUGAAAUAGGACG